RNAcentral lists this ribosomal RNA (586 nucleotides) under uncultured bacterium. RNAcentral's name for it is "bacterial SSU rRNA". It matches the Rfam family "Bacterial small subunit ribosomal RNA", at positions 338 to 916 of the family's 1533-position model. The record is from RNAcentral.
CCUACGGGAGGCAGCAGUGGGGAAUUUUGGACAAUGGGCGAAAGCCUGAUCCAGCAAUGCCGCGUGAGUGAAGAAGGCCUUCGGGUUGUAAAGCUCUUUUGUCAGGGAAGAAACGGUGUGGGCUAAUAUCCCGCACUAAUGACGGUACCUGAAGAAUAAGCACCGGCUAACUACGUGCCAGCAGCCGCGGUAAUACGUAGGGUGCAAGCGUUAAUCGGAAUUACUGGGCGUAAAGCGUGCGCAGGCGGUUUUGUAAGUCUGUCGUGAAAGCCCCGGGCUCAACCUGGGAAUUGCGAUGGAGACUGCAAGGCUUGAAUCUGGCAGAGGGGGGUAGAAUUCCACGUGUAGCAGUGAAAUGCGUAGAGAUGUGGAGGAACACCGAUGGCGAAGGCAGCCCCCUGGGUCAAGAUUGACGCUCAUGCACGAAAGCGUGGGGAGCAAACAGGAUUAGAUACCCUGGUAGUCCACGCCCUAAACGAUGUCUACUAGUUGUCGGGUUUUAAUUAACUUGGUAACGCAGCUAACGCGUGAAGUAGACCGCCUGGGGAGUACGGUCGCAAGAUUAAAACNCAAAUGAAAUUGACGG